Monodelphis domestica (gray short-tailed opossum) is the source of this 1581-nucleotide long non-coding RNA. Lineage: Eukaryota; Metazoa; Chordata; Mammalia; Didelphimorphia; Didelphidae. The record is from Ensembl.
GCAUUCCUUUACUUUGAAAUGAUGGUGGCCUCAGGUUGAUUUAAAAAGGUGAAUACACCAAUGGAUGCUCAUGAGCUACCGUUCCUCCCUCACAGAAUCCCACAAAGCUGGGUAAAAUUGUCAGGAGGAUCCGCUCUGGAAGACGGUGUUUGGACUCAGGUGCAACACUUUUUUUAAAACAUAAAUCCCACACCUGAAAAGCACAUUUGGAUUCCUUCACUAUUCUGAGAAUUCUCCUGCCACAGAAACCCAAGCUGUAUUCUAAAUAGUUGCUUCCAUAUGAGGUCAGUGAAUUCCAAUCAGCUAGUUGCCACUCUGAAUUCUGUCACUUAGAGUGGGUGAAAAUUCUCCAUGGAAACUAAAAGCCGUUUUGAAGAUAAUCUACCACUAAGGGCUUAAACAUAAAUCCUUCUUGAAAAAAAAAUUCUUUUUAAAUGAGUGAUAAUUGAAGAUAUUUUCCCUUUAACUGAAGAGAAAAGGUCUUUCAGCCAUUAAAAUGGUUACUAUUAUUUGACCAUUUGGGCACCUAGAUAGAGCUGGCAAUUGCAGCUCUUGCUCCCAGUGACGAGAGCCUUGCUUAGUAAAGAUAGCCAGAAGAGGGAUUAAUAUUUCAGGGUAAAUAAUAGACCCUGUGACCACCGAUUUACAGAUCUAAGCCCUCAUGAAUCAAGCUGAAGGCGUCAUCUACAUGAAGUCUCCACCCUCAUCAGCUCUCUGACUUCCACAUGAAAAGAAAAACCACUUCCAAAGCCCUGUUAAAUUUCUGAUUAAUAGAUUGGUCAGGUACGGAGCCAAGCUUUGAAAGGGACUGCAGUUUAUGCUUUGUACAAGCCCAUGGAUCAUUUAGGAUGAAUAGAGAGCCCUCAGUGACCAAGUUAAGGGCAUCACUCAUGCAGCAACUUAAAAUGCAGUCUCAGAAUUUGUUUGGCCUUCCAGUUGGCAUAACAGCCCAUAAACACUCCAGCUGGGCAAUGAGGAGUCUGAGCCAAUCGUCAUCACCUGAGCUGCCAAGUUUGGCGGACGCUUCUCUUUUCAUGUCCAGACUUCAAAUGUGUGUGCAGCAAAGGAGGAAGAUGUGGACCAUGCUCUUGAAUGGUGCUCUAGGAAGAACUGGGUUUCUCUUAUCCACAAGUGCCUUCUUAUACCAAGGACUGGUCUAUCCAUCUUCAUUUACACUGUGGAGAGAAACUGUACAGGAAAGCCUCUAUGGUGAAAACACCAUGAAGAAGCCUAGAAUCAUGGGAAUGUUCCUGCUCAGGCUUUGUGGAAGUCACCCACCUAGGGUUUCUCACGAAGAAAUAAUCAUAACACUUCUCAGCUGGCCUCUGGUUUAUGAACUGAAUGAUUCUUCAGGCAUGUUAGACUAUUUCAUUGCAGGGGUAGAAAGGAAUCAUGAACCCUUUCAGGGUGUUUGGGAACCACUGCAAUUUAUUUUAGUAUUUCUUUAAUAUUCCAACAUAUUAAAUAAUUUUAAUGAUCUCUUGUUUGUCCAUUUAUUGGGUUCUAUAUUCUAAAAUACACAAAUUCAGAACCAAUUACCAUAGACAGGUUGCUAAUAAAACUUUACAAACAUAAUAGACA